Molecule: ribosomal RNA, 463 nt
Filed under: Capnocytophaga granulosa
Lineage: Bacteria; Pseudomonadati; Bacteroidota; Flavobacteriia; Flavobacteriales; Flavobacteriaceae
Description: bacterial SSU rRNA
Rfam family: Bacterial small subunit ribosomal RNA
Source: RNAcentral
GAUGAACGCUAGCGGCAGGCCUAACACAUGCAAGUCGAGGGAGAAGCCCUUCGGGGCAGAAACCGGCGCACGGGUGCGUAACGCGUAUGCAACCUACCUUUCACAGGGGGAUAGCCCGAAGAAAUUUGGAUUAAUACCCCAUAAUAUUAUUGGAUGGCAUCAUUUGAUAAUUAAAAUUACGAUGGUGAAAGAUGGGCAUGCGUCCUAUUAGCUAGUUGGAGUGGUAACGGCACCCCAAGGCUACGAUAGGUAGGGGUCCUGAGAGGGAGAUCCCCCACACUGGUACUGAGACAGGGACCAGACUCCUACGGGAGGCAGCAGUGAGGAAUAUUGGUCAAUGGUCGGAAGACUGAACCAGCCAUGCCGCGUGCAGGAAGAAUGCCUUAUGGGUUGUAAACUGCUUUUAUAUGGGAAGAAUAAGGCGUACGUGUACGUUGAUGACGGUACCAUAUGAAUAAGCAUC